RNAcentral lists this long non-coding RNA (639 nucleotides) under Homo sapiens (human). Lineage: Eukaryota; Metazoa; Chordata; Mammalia; Primates; Hominidae. The record is from RNAcentral.
CGCCAUUUUCCUGCCUCAGCCUCCCGAGUAGCUGGGACUACAGGCGCCCGCCACUACGCCCGGCUAAUUUUUUUUGUAUUUUUAGUAGAGACGGGGUUUCACCGUGUUAGCCAGGAUGUUCUCGGUCUCCUGACCUCAUGAUCCACCUGCCUCGGCCUCCCAAAGUGCUGGGAUUACAGGAGUGAGCCACCGCGCCCGGCCAAGAGGCAGGAUCUCACCACCUUUUCUGGGCUAGUCUGGAACUCCUGGCCUUGUUACCAGCGGCAAAUCCCACAGGUCUGCAGCAACCUCAAUUCUUGUUUCCUCAGAAGAAAGAAUUCAACUGAUGGGCAGAAGGCAGAAGGAGAUACUGAGGCAAGUUUUAGAGCAGAAGUGAAAGUUUAUUAAAAAGCUUUAGAGCAGGAAUGAAAGGGAGGAAAAUAUACUUGGAAGAGGGCCAAGUGGGCGACCUGAAAGACAAGUGUGUGGUUUGACCUUUUGAUUUGGGGUUUUAUACGUCGGCAUACUUCCAGGAUCUUGGGUUACUUCUCCCCACUCCUGAAAGCUUAUCCAGAAGUUGAUCAGUUUCAGGUGUUUUCUAUUUAUUGGGAGCCUGCCUUUCCCUAGCACCGGCUGGGACCAAUUAUUACUUUAGAGAGA